GUGGGGAAUAUUGCACAAUGGGCGCAAGCCUGAUGCAGCAACGCCGCGUGAGGGACGACGGCCUUCGGGUUGUAAACCUCUUUUAGCAGGGAAGAAGCGAAAGUGACGGUACCUGCAGAAAAAGCACCGGCUAACUACGUGCCAGCAGCCGCGGUAAUACGUAGGGUGCAAGCGUUGUCGGGAAUUAUUGGGCGUAAAGAGCUCGUAGGCGGUUUGUCGCGUCUGCUGUGAAAACCCGAGGCUCAACCUCGGGCCUGCAGUGGGUACGGGUAGACUAGAGUGCGGUAGGGGAGAUUGGAAUUCCUGGUGUAGCGGUGGAAUGCGCAGAUAUCAGGAGGAACACCGAUGGCGAAGGCAGAUCUCUGGGCCGUAACUGACGCUGAGGAGCGAAAGCGUGGGGAGCGAACAGGAUUAGAAACCCGAGUAGUCC
Molecule: ribosomal RNA, 430 nt
Filed under: uncultured bacterium
Lineage: Bacteria
Description: partial 16S ribosomal RNA
Rfam family: Bacterial small subunit ribosomal RNA
Source: RNAcentral